Molecule: ribosomal RNA, 497 nt
Filed under: uncultured bacterium
Lineage: Bacteria
Description: partial 16S ribosomal RNA
Rfam family: Bacterial small subunit ribosomal RNA
Source: RNAcentral
GAUGAACGCUGGCGGCGUGCCUAAUACAUGCAAGUCGAGCGAACGGACGAGAAGCUUGCUUUUCUGAUGUUAGCGGCGGACGGGUGAGUAACACGUGGAUAACCUACCUAUAAGACUGGGAUAACUUCGGGAAACCGGAGCUAAUACCGGAUAAUAUUUUGAACCGCAUGGUUCAAAAGUGAAAGACGGUCUUGCUGUCACUUAUAGAUGGAUCCGCGCUGCAUUAGCUAGUUGGUAAGGUAACGGCUUACCAAGGCAACGAUGCAUAGCCGACCUGAGAGGGUGAUCGGCCACACUGGAACUGAGACACGGUCCAGACUCCUACGGGAGGCAGCAGUAGGGAAUCUUCCGCAAAGGGCGAAAGCCUGACGGAGCAACGCCGCGUGAGUGAUGAAGGUCUUCGGAUCGUAAAACUCUGUUAUUAGGGAAGAACAUAUGUGUAAGUAACUGUGCACAUCUUGACGAUACCUAAUCAGAAAGCCACGGCUAACUACGUG